CUUGACUCCCUGGGUAGCUAAAAAAUUCUAGCUUUGUACGUACUAGUAAUAUUGCUCUCAGUUGUCCUGACCUUUUUUUUUGCGUGGUAGCCGUUGUCUUCACUAAAAUUGUUUAGUUAAAAAGAACUGCCAUUUUUGUAGUAUAAAUUAUAUACCAGGCGCACGGUGAGCACACCACCGGAGCAACCGUGAGUCCGUGACCCAAACCGUAUACACACCAUGUGUCCCACAGCCAGAACCAAGCUCUUGCUCCUCCUUGCAGUAGCAGCCUCCACCAUUCCCUUCACCUCCAAUGGCUUGGUGCAUGUGCCACGCCAGCCAGCCAGCCAUGCCAACGGCACCGGCACCGGCACGAUGUGUCUGCCACAUGAAAGGGAGGCCUUGCUAGCGUUCAAGCGAGGCAUCACCAAAGACCCGUUGGGCCAACUCGCCUCGUGGCAGCGACAUGGGCUGAAGGACUGCUGCCGCUGGAGGGGAGUCCAGUGCGAUGACCGCACCGGGCAUGUCCUCGAGCUUCAUCUUCGCAACUUGCACGAAAAUAACACGCUUCUCAUCGAUGAUCAACUAACAGCUUUGGUCGGUGAGAUAAGUCCUUCUUUGCUCGCCUUGCAGCAUUUGGAACACCUUGAUCUCAGCGUGCAAGCACUCCAGGGGCCCACUGGUUGUGUCCCGGAGUUCUUGGGCUCUUUCAAGAACCUAAGAUAUCUUAACCUCUCUUGCGUACCAUUUUUCAGUGAUUUGCCGCCUCAUCUUGGUAACCUCUCAAAGUUGCAAUUCCUUGACCUCUCCCAAGCUAACAUGGUUUAUGUCUCAUCGGGUGGACCACCAAUGCACUCCAAAGAUAUCUCAUGGUUAACCCGCAUGCCUUUGUUAAGGUACCUCAACAUGCAAAUGGUAAACCUUAGCAUGGUGGCCGAUUGGCCUCGUGUUGCCAACAUGAUUCCUUCUUUGAGAGUCCUUUGUCUAUCCCAAUGCUCACUUGAAAGCGCAAAACACUCGCUCUUGCACUCCAACCUCACCAAUCUUGUAGAGCUUGAUCUCUCUGGCAACGACUUUGACCAACCACUUGCAUCUUGCUGGUUUUGGAAUAUAACAAGCAUUAGAUACCUCAACCUUCGGUCUACCAAUAUGUAUGGCCAGUUUCCAAAUUCUCUAGGAGAUUUGAAAUCCCUUCAAGCCCUUGCCUUUUCAACUGAUAGGUUGGGCUCCAUGACAGCAAGCAUGAGAAAUUUGUGCAAUCUUGAAGUCCUAGAUCUCAGCAAUAGCCUGUUGGAUGAAAACAUUAGAGACACAUUCCAAAGGUUACCUCAGUGUUCGCCUAACAAGUUGAAAGAAUUACAUCUGGAGAACAAUAAUAUCACUGGAGUCCUACCAAACUUCAUAGAGGAAUUCAUCAACAUUGUCAUCCUCGACCUCUCCAACAACCAUAUAACUGGGCAUGUGCCUCCUGAGAUUGGAAGGUUCAGAAAUUUAACUAGCUUGGACCUAAGCAGUAACAGACUGGGAGGUGUGAUUACACAAGAACACUUUGCAAAUCUGAGCAGUUUAGAACACAUAGACUUAUCCUAUAAUUCCUUGAAGAUUGUGGCGGAGCCCGAAUGGCGGGCACCAUUUAGUCUCGUUACAGCUGGUUUUGCAUAUUGUCAAAUGAAUUUGUUUCCUGCUUGGCUAGAAGGGCAGGUGGGUCUCUCUUUUUUGGAUCUUACGAGUGCAAGUAUAAAGGACAAACUUCCAAAAUGGUUUUCUACUACAUUUGCAAAUGUUAUCAAAUUGUACCUUUCGGCCAAUGAAAUCUAUGGUAGAUUGCCAACAAACAUGGAUGUUAUGACAUCAUUGAGCUACCUAUAUUUGGAUUCAAACCAGCUAAGUGGUGGAAUACCCCAAUUGCCAAUGUCGCUGAGCAUAUUGGACAUCUCCAUGAACUCUUUAUCGGGACCUUUCCCGGAAAAUUUUGCAGCUUUAGAUAUAUGGUUUCUAAGACUAUCUUCCAAUAGUCUCACCGGUCAAAUUCCAGAGUCUUUGUGCCAAAUGCAUUACCUGCAGAUCUUAGUGCUAAGCAACAACCUUUUUGAAGGGGAAUUUCCUCGAUGUUUCGAGACAAGCAGCCUGAUGAUGUUACUUUUAAGUAACAAUAGGCUAUCUGGAAUGUUCCCAGCAUUUUUGCGGAAAAACACAAAUCUCGAAGUCCUUGACUUGUCACAAAAUGAGUUCUCUGGAAGAGUGCCUAUGUGGAUUGGAGAAUUAGUGAGCCUAGAGAUACUACAACUGAGCUAUAACACGUUCUCUCAUAGUAUUCCUUCAACCAUUACAAAUCUUAGUAGCCUUAUUCAACUGAAUCUAGCAGGCAACAGCAUAUCAGGUGUCAUACCGUGGAACUUAUCAAGUUUAACUGGUAUGCCAAGUGAGGGUAGUCCGAGUUCUUUAACCGACCCUAGAUAUGAUAUUUAUAUGCAUGUGUUCACAAAGAGUCAAGAACUUAAUUAUCAAGAUGAUGCAAUACUUAGAGUGGUGAUCAUGGACUUGUCAUCAAAUUUUUUAACUGGUGGGAUUCCAGAAGAUAUAUCAUCUCUUGAUGCAAUUGUAGGUUUGAAUUUGUCACAGAAUCACCUGAUUGGGAAAAUUUCAAACAAGAUUGGGGUCAUGAAGUCGUUACAAUCACUGGACCUCUCAAGGAACAAGCUUUCUGGAGAAAUACCACCAAGCUUGUUAAAUCUGACAUAUUUAAGCAGCUUGGACUUGUCUUACAACAAUCUUGCGGGGCAAAUACCAUCAGGAGGCCAACUUGACACCCUCUAUCUACAACAUCCAUCUAUGUACGAUGGCAACAAUGGUCUUUGCGGACCUCCACUCCCUAAGAAUUGCUCAGGAAACAAUGCAGCAAGGCAUGAUGUUCAAACGACACAUAGUACAUAUUCCGAUCCAAUGUCCUUCUACUUUGGGCUCGGAAUAGGAUUUGUCAUCGGUCUUUGGGUGGUGUUCUGUGCCAUGUUAUUCAAGAGAGCAUGGAGGAUUGCCUAUUUCCGGCUCUUCGACAAGGUAUACGAUAAAGUAUAUGUGUUUGUCGUUGUUAAUUGGAAGAGGAUUUGCCCGUAAGAUGGCUACACGCUAAAUCAAUUGGCAAGAUUGGCUAGAAAUACAACCGGAGAUGGAGUCUUACAAAUAAAGGUGCAUGCCAAAAUGUCCAUGUGUUGUCGUAGUUAGUAUAUUCAAUAAACAAAGCAAAGAUGUAUUUGACUCUGUAUCGUAGUCCAUGUUGCCCUUUAUUUAGUCUCUUGAUGUACAUGCACUGAUGCACUGUCAGUUUGUACUUAUGAUCUAAUGAAUAAAUGCACCAUGUGUGUGCUACUUGGAUGAAAACAAAUUAAGAGAAUAGUGCAAUUUGCCUAUAACAGGCGCAUGUAAUUAUCUUUAGGCGAGUAGUUUUACUUAUUUUUUAAGAUGUAUUUCUUCAUCAAUAUAUUUUGUAAGAUGUGUUUCCAUCUCUUUUUUUUGAGCUUAUGUGUUUCCAUCUUCUUCUUUUAUUGAAUUUGUAUGUGUUUUUAUCUUCUUCUUUUUUUUUUACUUACGUGUGUUUUCAUCUUCUUCUUUUUUUGACUUAUGUAUUUUUCAUCUUGAUUAGAAGUCUGGCGGGGAGAAGAAUGAAGACAAAAGGAAAAUCAGAAUAGGCAACUGGGCCUUGUGAUUCAACAGCCCAGCCACAAGGCCCAUGGCGUCCGUCCAUAUCGCCCCACUCUCCCGUCCCCAUCUCCGAUCCCCAUCACAACCGGAGCCGUCGAGGCCGCCGCGCUUCCUCUCCCUCCCCUCGACUCCGGCGGCCGGCCGGGGCGCGUCGCCACCUUCCUCGCCCUUCGCCCCGCUGCUCGGGUGAGUCCCUCGCACUCCCCAAUCCAAGGUUCCGCGUCACAUCGUUCCCCGUUCGCCCGUCAAUCCGCCCUCUUUUCCCCCUCGCCAAACCCCGGUGGCAGCGGCGCAGCGGCGCUUCGCCGACCGGAUUUCAGGGGCUCCAUCUGAUGACCACCCGUACGUGCAGGUACCCGCUCCCCAGUCCAGCACAGAGCACAGGGAGGGGGGCAAUGGAAGGACCAUCUGCUUCUGACGGCCAAGUGAUCCCGUCCACCGCAGGAGACCCUCACCUCAGCAGCUCGGCCGCGCCCAUGGACGCCGCCGGCGGCGGCUCGCAGCACGUCGCGACGCUGCGGAAGCUGCUGUUUCGGAGGAUGCUGGUCGGGGUGAACGACGGCCGCUACUUCCUGGGGCUGUUCCACUGCGUCGACAAGCAGGGGAACAUAAUCCUGCAGGACGCGGUGGAGUACCGCAGCGCGCGCCGCUCAUCCCCGUCGGCGCCCAAGGAGGAGCGGUGCCUCGGGCUCAUCCUCAUCCCGGCGUCCUGCCGCUCGUCCUGCCAUGUCGACUGCUUCAUCGAAGAGCAGAUGGCACUGCUGUCCCUGUGCAAGUGAAGGAUGCUUCUGAAUUUUCUUUCCUCUGGUUUCUCAAGCUGUGUAACUUGGAUGAAUCUGUGCCUGGAGACCUUGUUGUGACUUUUCUUUGUAGUCAGUUGUGCCAUAUUGGAGUUUGCCCUGCAUACUUAUUGUUAUUUCAGCUAGAAUCUGGUAUUCGUAUUUCUGUUCCAUGGGAAAAUAUUCUUUCAUUAAUCAGUGUCACUGGCUGUGAGUUCUUCAAUCAACAAGAUUUUGUACAUAAAUUUAGUAACUGAUGCCAUAGAAGCUCAUACCAUAGCUUUCAUAAAGUGAGCAAGUGAAGGAUGCUUCUGAUUUUUUUUUCUGGUUUCUCAAGCUGUGUAAGCUUAGAUGAAUCUGUGCCUGGAUUGUUUUGAAAGUUUAUGUAAGAGUAUUUUUAGUUGAUUUUUUC
This 4869-nucleotide ribosomal RNA is filed under the name Triticum aestivum (bread wheat). RNAcentral describes it as "partial small subunit ribosomal RNA". Lineage: Eukaryota; Viridiplantae; Streptophyta; Magnoliopsida; Poales; Poaceae. The record is from RNAcentral.